UCCUAGAUCGUCUAGUGGCCAAGAUUCCGCCUCUCACGGCGGCGACCGGGGUUCAAUUCCCCGUCUGGGAG
This is a transfer RNA of Rhizoclosmatium globosum, 71 nucleotides long. It matches the Rfam family "tRNA". Rfam says of the family: Transfer RNA (tRNA) molecules are approximately 80 nucleotides in length. Their secondary structure includes four short double-helical elements and three loops (D, anti-codon, and T loops). NCBI's taxonomy places the organism in Eukaryota, Fungi, Chytridiomycota, Chytridiomycetes, Chytridiales, Chytriomycetaceae. The record is from Rfam.